AGGGAGACGCGGCGGUAACCUGGACCUUAAAAGUUUGUUGUCGUUAGGGAAUAGGUGGGAAUAUGGUUGUGGGAUUAAUGAAACACAGUACCAAAGAGAUUCCAGAAAGAGAACUGGUGUAGGAAUAGGGCCUGCAUGGGAGGAGUUCAAAGAUGCUUCUUGGAGGGAGCCGAUAACCCGCGGGUGGAGCCUACCCGAGACAGGGCAUCACUGUGUUGCCAAGGCUGGUCUUGAACUGGCUCAAGCAAUCUGCCCACCUCGGUCUCCCAAAGUGCUGGGAUUACAGGAGUGAGCCACUGCGCCCUGCCUGAAUUUAUGAUUUAUGAAUAUGCCUGUUAACAAAUCACCUAUGAUUAAUACAUGUGGAGGCAUAUCUUCCCCUUAUCAUGAAGAGCUCUGGAAAUUAAAUUUUCAACAUUUAAGUGGAGAAAGGGGUCAUAAAUCAAGAUUAUUUCCUUGGGAUAAAGUUUCUACAAUGAGUGCAAGAGCAAUUGAAAAGAACUUUCACAAAGACUUUACAGUCACAAAUAAUAUACUUUUUCUAGU
Molecule: long non-coding RNA, 546 nt
Filed under: Homo sapiens (human)
Lineage: Eukaryota; Metazoa; Chordata; Mammalia; Primates; Hominidae
Description: non-protein coding lnc-TMEM232-4:2
Source: RNAcentral